GAUGAACGCUAGCUACAGGCCUAACACAUGCAAGUCGAGGGGCAGCGGUAUCGAAAGCUUGCUUUCGGUAGCCGGCGACCGGCGCACGGGUGAGUAACGCGUAUCGAACCUGCCUCAUACUCGGGAAUAGCCUUGCGAAAGUAAGAUUAAUGCCCGGUGUUUUCAGAGUCCCGCAUGAGGCUUUGAACAAAGAUUUAUCGGUAUGAGAUGGCGAUGCGUCCCAUUAGCUUGUUGGCGGGGUAACAGCCCACCAAGGCAUCGAUGGGUAGGGGUUCUGAGGGGAAGGCCCCCCCCAUUGGAAAUGGGACACGGUCCAAACUCCUACGGGAGGCAGCAGUGAGGAAUAUUGGUAAAUGGGCGGAAGCCUGAACCAGCCAAGUAGCGUGCAGGAAGACGGCCCUCCGGGUUGUAAACUGCUUUUAGUUGGGAAUAAAACGGGGCUCGUGAGCCCCCUUGCAUGUACCAUCAGAAAAAGGACCGGCUAAUUCCGUGCCAGCCGCCGCCGUAA
Molecule: ribosomal RNA, 508 nt
Filed under: uncultured bacterium
Lineage: Bacteria
Description: partial 16S ribosomal RNA
Rfam family: Bacterial small subunit ribosomal RNA
Source: RNAcentral